CCUCGUGGCGGGCGCGGCGCUCACGCCGUGGGGAUUCGUGAUCCCCGGCGGCUAUCUCGCGGCGAUCGUCGCGGGCUCGAUACCCGCCGGCAAGGGCC
This 98-nucleotide transfer RNA is filed under the name Streptomyces albogriseolus. RNAcentral describes it as "tRNA-Thr". RNAcentral also lists the same sequence under 1 other name. The record is from RNAcentral. Lineage: Bacteria; Bacillati; Actinomycetota; Actinomycetes; Kitasatosporales; Streptomycetaceae.